AUACGUAGGGUGCAAGCGUUAAUCGGAAUUACUGGGCGUAAAGCGUGCGCAGGCGGUUUUGUAAGACAGUGGUGAAAUCCCCGGGCUCAACCUGGGAACUGCCAUUGUGACUGCAAGGCUGGAGUGCGGCAGAGGGGGAUGGAAUUCCGCGUGGAGCAGUGAAAUGCGUAGAUAUGCGGAGGAACACCGAUGGCGAAGGCAAUCCCCUGGGCCUGCACUGACGCUCAUGCACGAAAGCGUGGGGAGCAAACAGGAUUAGAUACCCUGGUAGUCCACGCCCUAAACGAUGUCAACUGGUUGUUGGGGAUUUAUUUUCUCAGUAACGAAGCUAACGCGUGAAGUUGACCGCCUGGGGAGUACGGCCGCAAGGUUAAAACUCAAAGGAAUCGACGGGG
Molecule: ribosomal RNA, 395 nt
Filed under: uncultured bacterium
Lineage: Bacteria
Description: partial 16S ribosomal RNA
Rfam family: Bacterial small subunit ribosomal RNA
Source: RNAcentral